This 709-nucleotide ribosomal RNA is filed under the name uncultured bacterium. Its description in RNAcentral is "bacterial SSU rRNA". It matches the Rfam family "Bacterial small subunit ribosomal RNA", at positions 105 to 811 of the family's 1533-position model. The record is from RNAcentral.
GGUGAGUAACACGUAUGGAACCUGCCCGUAGCAGGGGGAUAAGCGGAAGAAAUUCCGUCUAAUACCGCGUAAUAACUCCGAGAGGCAUCUCCUGGGGUUUAAAGGGUAACACCGGCUACGGAUGGCCAUGCGGCGCAUUAGCUAGUUGGCGGGGUAACGGCCCACCAAGGCGACGAUGCGUAGGGGUUCUGAGAGGAAGGUCCCCCACACUGGUACUGAGACACGGACCAGACUCCUACGGGAGGCAGCAGUGAGGAAUAUUGGUCAAUGGGCGCGAGCCUGAACCAGCCAAGUCGCGUGAGGGAAGACGGUCCUAUGGAUUGUAAACCUCUUUUGUCGGGGAGCAAAAGACGCCACGCGUGGCGUUCCGAGAGUACCCGAAGAAAAAGCAUCGGCUAACUCCGUGCCAGCAGCCGCGGUAAUACGGAGGAUGCGAGCGUUAUCCGGAUUUAUUGGGUUUAAAGGGUGCGCAGGCGGAAGAUCAAGUCAGCGGUAAAAUUGAGAGGCUCAACCUCUUCGAGCCGUUGAAACUGGUUUUCUUGAGUGAGCGAGAAGUAUGCGGAAUGCGUGGUGUAGCGGUGAAAUGCAUAGAUAUCACGCAGAACUCCGAUUGCGAAGGCAGCAUACCGGCGCUCAACUGACGCUCAUGCACGAAAGUGUGGGUAUCGAACAGGAUUAGAUACCCUGGUAGUCCACACAGUAAACGAUG